Molecule: ribosomal RNA, 510 nt
Filed under: Terribacillus saccharophilus
Lineage: Bacteria; Bacillati; Bacillota; Bacilli; Caryophanales; Bacillaceae
Description: bacterial LSU rRNA
Rfam family: Bacterial large subunit ribosomal RNA
Source: RNAcentral
CCAAGCAGUGAGGAAGUUGAGCAGGCAAAUCCACUCAACAUUAAUUCCAGGCGGUUAUGGGGAGGGAAAUUUAGUACCGAAGUUCCUGAUUUCACACUGCCAAGAAAAGCCUCUAGUGAGGAAAUAGGUGCCCGUACCGCAAACCGACACAGGUAGGCACGGUGAGUAACCGAAGAUGAUCGGGAGAACUCUCGUUAAGGAACUCGGCAAAAUGACCCCGUAACUUCGGGAGAAGGGGUGCUUCUUUUAAGGAGAAGCCGCAGUGAAAAGGCCCAAGCGACUGUUUAGCAAAAACACAGGUCUCUGCAAAGCCGUAAGGCGAAGUAUAGGGGCUGACACCUGCCCGGUGCUGGAAGGUUAAGGGGAAUGGUUAGGGACUUCGUCCCGAAGCUGUGAACCGAAGCCCCAGUAAACGGCGGCCGUAACUAUAACGGUCCUAAGGUAGCGAAAUUCCUUGUCGGGUAAGUUCCGACCCGCACGAAAGGUGCAACGACUUGGGCACUGUCUCAA